GGGAGCCGGAUGAAUCGAGAGAUUCAAGUCCGGUUCUGAGAGAGCCUGGGGGUGAAAUCCCCCUGGGCUACUCACCU
RNAcentral lists this non-coding RNA (77 nucleotides) under Mesotoga infera. Lineage: Bacteria; Thermotogati; Thermotogota; Thermotogae; Kosmotogales; Kosmotogaceae. The record is from RNAcentral.